UAGAACGUCGUGAGACAGUUCGGUCCCUAUCUGCCGUGGACGUUUGAGAUUUGAGAGGGGCUGCUCCUAGUACGAGAGGACCGGAGUGGACGAACCUCUGGUGUUCCGGUUGUCACGCCAGUGGCAUUGCCGGGUAGCUAUGUUCGGAAAAGAUAACCGCUGAAAGCAUCUAAGCGGGAAACUUGCCUCAAGAUGAGAUCUCACUGGGAACUUGAUUCCCCUGAAGGGCCGUCGAAGACUACGACGUUGAUAGGCUGGGUGUGUAAGCGUUGUGAGGCGUUGAGCUAACCAGUACUAAUUGCCCGUGAGGCUUGACCAU
Molecule: ribosomal RNA, 319 nt
Filed under: Pseudomonas aeruginosa
Lineage: Bacteria; Pseudomonadati; Pseudomonadota; Gammaproteobacteria; Pseudomonadales; Pseudomonadaceae
Description: partial 23S ribosomal RNA
Rfam family: Bacterial large subunit ribosomal RNA
Source: RNAcentral